CAGUCGCGCGGGAAUACAGAGGGUGCGAGCGUUAAUCGGAUUUACUGGGCGUAAAGCGUGCGUAGGCGGCUUCUUAAGUCGGAUGUGAAAUCCCUGAGCUUAACUUAGGAAUUGCAUUCGAUACUGGGAAGCUAGAGUAUGGGAGAGGAUGGUAGAAUUCCAGGUGUAGCGGUGAAAUGCGUAGAGAUCUGGAGGAAUACCGAUGGCGAAGGCAGCCAUCUGGCCUAAUACUGACGCUGAGGUACGAAAGCAUGGGGAGCAAACAGGAUUAGAUACCCGCGUAGUCCCUGUCUCUUAUACA
RNAcentral lists this ribosomal RNA (301 nucleotides) under uncultured bacterium. RNAcentral describes it as "partial 16S ribosomal RNA". It matches the Rfam family "Bacterial small subunit ribosomal RNA", at positions 509 to 808 of the family's 1533-position model. The record is from RNAcentral.